UCCUACGGGGGGCAGCAGUGAGGAAUAUUGGUCAAUGGGCGGAAGCCUGAACCAGCCAAGUCGCGUGAGGGAAUAAGGCCCUACGGGUCGUAAACCUCUUUUGCCGGGGAGCAAGGGCGGGGACGUGUCCCGGCCCGGAGAGUACCCGGAGAAAAAGCAUCGGCUAACUCCGUGCCAGCAGCCGCGGUAAUACGGAGGAUGCGAGCGUUAUCCGGAUUUAUUGGGUUUAAAGGGUGCGUAGGCGGGCUUUUAAGUCAGCGGUAAAAAUUCGGGGCUCAACCCCGUCCCGCCGUUGAAACUGGGGG
RNAcentral lists this ribosomal RNA (305 nucleotides) under uncultured bacterium. RNAcentral describes it as "bacterial SSU rRNA". It matches the Rfam family "Bacterial small subunit ribosomal RNA", at positions 337 to 639 of the family's 1533-position model. The record is from RNAcentral.